CAGCCGCCGCGGGAAUACGUAGGGUGCAAGCGUUAAUCGGAAUUACUGGGCGUAAAGCGUGCGCAGGCGGUUAUGCAAGACAGAUGUGAAAUCCCCGGGCUCAACCUGGGAACUGCAUUUGUGACUGCAUGGCUGGAGUGCGGCAGAGGGGGAUGGAAUUCCGCGUGUAGCAGUGAAAUGCGUAGAUAUGCGGAGGAACACCGAUGGCGAAGGCAGCCCCCUGGGCCAAUACUGACGCUCAUGCACGAAAGCGUGGGGAGCAAACAGGAUUAGAUACCCCUGUAGUCCCUGUCUCUUAUAC
RNAcentral lists this ribosomal RNA (301 nucleotides) under uncultured bacterium. RNAcentral's name for it is "partial 16S ribosomal RNA". It matches the Rfam family "Bacterial small subunit ribosomal RNA", at positions 509 to 807 of the family's 1533-position model. The record is from RNAcentral.